UUUUUUUUUUAUUUCUUAUAUUUAGUUAGUGUACGGAACAUGUGGGUAAAAGGUAUUGUGUGUGGCCGCUGUUAGGUGGUGGUCUGCUGUCAUGGUGUCGAGACUGUUUGGCGGCCACGGCAAGUUUAGGUGGGUGCGGCUUGGGAGAGAACACCUGUGUUAGGAACAAUAUGCACACAAGAGACAAGGGGUGAAGUUCACAUGGGUUAGGAGUGGUUGGCAGAGUACCAGGAUCGUAAACGAACAUGAUUUUUUUGUGAUAGUUAUGCCAAGUGGUUAGCUUAGUGAAGGCGUUAGUGCCCACUCAUACGUGGUAGGAUUACUCAUAUAAAUGUUACAUUGUGUGGUGACGGGGUAUAAAGUCAGGACCGGACGUGGUGCUCGCCCCAGCUACAGUGUCCCAUCUCCCAUGAGCAGCCCAUGAGUGAGGCGGCUGGGAAGGAGUACAAUAACAGUGAGCCAUCAACUCAGUCACCUGCAGACGCCAUGGAGCCUGGCUGGCCACUCUCCCCACGAGCAGUCUUCGCCACCCUUAUUGUCUUUUUGGCCCUGGUCUUCCAUCCAAAUCUGGUGAACUUACUAGUGAGCAGCGAAGAUGCCUCCUCCACACUCCAACAUGUAAAGAACUUUUACCUGUGGACUAGGCAUCAUCGAGAGGAGCUACAGGAGCUAAAAGUAGAGUCACAAGCAUCCCUGACUGCCACCCAUUUCCUCCCACGCCGCACCUAUGUUAUCAUCCAUGGGUUCCUUGGAUCUGGCACCGAUGCCUGGAUAAUUGCAAUGAAGGAUGCUCUUCUGGGACGAGAGGACUGCAAUGUUAUCGGCGUCAAUUGGUCAGCAGGUGCAAUGACAAUCGGAUACUAUGCUAUACAGUCAAAGGUGCCAGGUGUCGGUGAAGACAUAAGCAAGCUCCUUUUAUUCCUCGAGCGAGCAGCAGGGUUAUCACCUGACCUGGUGCACAUCAUAGGUCACUCCCUUGGAGCACAUGCAGCAGGUUUUACUGGAAAGCAUCUCAAUGGCACUCUGUCAAGAAUUACAGGUUUGGAUCCAGCUGGCCUCUCGUACCAUGCGGCUGAGCCCGCUGAUCGUUUGGACAAAAGAGAUGCUGUCUUUGUGGACAUCAUCCAUACUCAUGGUUGCACUACUCUCCUGAAUCAAUGGGUGGACUGCUUUGGGAUAAAUGAAAACCUUGGAGAUGCAGACUUCUGGCCCAAUGGUGGGGAGCGUCAACCUGCUUGUAUGGAAGGCGGAGAUGGUCCUUCUGCUGUCAAGGAUGGGAGCAGCUGUGACCAUGGGAUGGCAUACGUCUUCUAUACCGAGAGUAUUUCAUACCCUACAUCCACAACUCAUUUUUUGGCACGGCCGUGUAGUUCCUGGAAAUGGUACAACAUUUGUGAGUGCAGCCACCCACCACAGUAUAUGGGUUACAAUGUCAAUCCCAAUGUCCCGGGAGAUUUCUACCUCAACACCAGCAUCACAGCUCCCUAUGCUCUCUUGGACCAAAAGUGUUCUGCUGGUUCCUUCUCUACGCUCCAGAUUAUUGGUUUGAUACUAGUGUCAAUAUUAUUGGCUCUUAUGAUACUUCUGGUAGUGUUGGCCAUAGUACAACAGUACUUUGGUGUACAAGUCCUGACAACAGUGAGAACAGCAUUUGGAAUGGAAGCAGUUACCUGGCAAAGAUUUGCAGAAUCGAAAUCGACACAGCUUCUGACUGAAGAACACAAACAAGUUAUUACUUGAACUUUCUUACUACACUACAUUGUAUUUGAACCGAGUGUGAGCUGUUUCAAGACCAGACUUGAUCAGCACUGGAGCAGGUUCAAAUACAUUCAGGAGCCGGUGCAUGCCCAGUACUUACCAACAGUGCCACUGUAACAGAAACGUGACUGACCGCCCAAGCGGCUAACGUGCCGAUCAGUGGCAAAGAGGAUAAAAAUUCCGUGUCACUUGACGGAGUCAUCUCCCGUAGCGGCCGAUUGAUUCACACCCUCGCCCGUUAUGUCUCACACCUGGGAUACAACCCUGCCGACAACAAGUCUCCUGCAGCGCUCGGAGGGGAGGGGGAGUAUUGUAGUGGAUACUCUCCCCUACAACUGCUGGUUGAUCACUUGCCGUCUGCUUACCAGCCAACCAGCGACGAGUUCCGAAUGUGACGGGCCUGACUCUCGGACCGCGCGGUGAUUGGCCCGUUACCACCUUCACCUUAAUCAAUGAGCAGCGCCGCUCACUUCACACCUCUCCAGCCGAUCCCGCAGAAGCAUACAAAUACUCCCCAGCCUUGCCUUGAAGAUCGAGCUACAACCUAAUCACGCAAGAUGUAAGUUCAAAUAUAAUUACAGUGAUCCCACGGUUAACAAGAUUUCAGUUAACGAAUUACCUCCCAUAAGAUUUUUAACUUCGGUUAACGAGCAAUCCCUCAAUUAAUGAGUUUUUAACGAGCGCCCCUCCA
RNAcentral lists this unclassified non-coding RNA (2449 nucleotides) under Homarus americanus (American lobster). RNAcentral describes it as "pancreatic triacylglycerol lipase-like, transcript variant X3". Lineage: Eukaryota; Metazoa; Arthropoda; Malacostraca; Decapoda; Nephropidae. The record is from RNAcentral.